AAUCCAUGCAUCGGACAUUUUCGAAUUAAGUAUUUAAAUCGUUUCUAAGCUUCAUAUAGUGUUUCAUCCUCCGAUUGUCUAAAAUAUGUGAUGUCAUUUCUAAACUU
Non-coding RNA from Gossypium hirsutum (cotton), 107 nucleotides. Lineage: Eukaryota; Viridiplantae; Streptophyta; Magnoliopsida; Malvales; Malvaceae. The record is from Rfam.